UUAAUUCUCUUUUCUUUCUUUUUCUCUGCCCUUCCAGUUGAAACUAUGGAACAAAUUCCGGGUGUCCAACAUCCCCUCGCUGAUAUUUAUAGAUGCCAACACUGGGAAAGUGGUUUGUCGGAAUGGCCUCUUGGUGAUCCGAGAUGACCCAGAAGGCCUGGAGUUCCCGUGGGGUCCCCGGCCAUUCAGCGAGGUGGUGGCCGGCCCUCUUCUCCGAAAUAGCGGGCCUGCCCUUGACAGCAGCGUCUUGGAAGGCUCCCACGUCGGGGUUUAUUUCUCUGCUCACUGGUGCCCACCCUGUAGAAGUCUCACUCGGGUUCUGGUGGAAUCUUACCGGAAAAUCAAAGAUGCUGGUCAAAAAUUCGAGAUUGUCUUUGUUAGUGCAGACAGGUAAUUGAAUACGAGUCCCAAACUCUGGGGCAUAAAUCCUGUUUGCUUUUUUUAGCCCUUUUCAUACCUGGGUGGAACGGAGCUCAGUGAUGUAUUCUGAGCCCUCCUUUUUGUAUAAAAAGGGGAAGGAGGGAGAGAGGAAGGAAGGAAGGGAAUGAAGAAGAGAGAGGGAAGGAGUAAGGAAAGAGGAAGAAAGGAAGGAGGGAGGGAGGAGAGGAAUAAAAGAAAGAAAGGGGAAGGAAAGAAGAAGGAAGGAGAAAAGGGAAGGGAAGGAAGAAAGAAGGAAAAUGAAGAGAAGAGGAGAAUGGAAAAUGACACGGGGAGAAGGAAGGAAGGUUUGGAAAAUGAAGAAAAAAGAGGGAAGAGGGAAGAAAUGAAGGUUAAGAAAAUAAGUGAAGUGAAGUGAAGGGGAUGGAGGCAGGGAAGGAGAGACUAGUACAGGAAGGGAUGGAAGAAGGAGAGAGCGAAGAAUAAAAGAAAGAAAUGGAGAAAGAAAAGAAGAAAGGAAAAAGGCAAGGAAGCAUAAAAAGGGAAGGAGGAAGAAAAGGAAGGAGUAAUGGAGGGAGGGAGGAAAGG
Molecule: long non-coding RNA, 966 nt
Filed under: Pseudonaja textilis
Lineage: Eukaryota; Metazoa; Chordata; Lepidosauria; Squamata; Elapidae
Description: lncRNA (ENSPTXG00000007711.1)
Source: RNAcentral